AACGCAGAGGUGGGGGACAGAGUGGGUGGGGAGGGGAGCCGCCAUACAGUGGCCAGGACCAGCUUUGCCCAAGUGGUGGCAACCGCAUGACCACAGGAACGAUGGCGUGAGCCCCAUGGCAACCUGGAGGAAGGGCCAAGCCACUGGUGAAUAUGCUGCAAAAAAUAUGCUGGAACUUCUAUGAAUACCACAGGGUGUCAGAAGAAAACAUUAGAACUUCUAUUUUGUACCUGUCUUACUCCACAACGAGAAAGCAAUCAGCUUGAUCAAUGCCUACUGUAAAGACGGCACCGCCCUCUGGAGGUCCUUUCUCAGCCCUGGUGUUCGGACAGCCACAUCCCCUUGCAGCAGGGGGAGGCCUGAAGCAUAGAGGGGCCCACGCAGGUCUAUUCUGUUUCAGCGAAUUGCCUGGGAAAUAAUCCAGGAUCCGUUUCGUGUGGUCAUCUUGUCUCCCUGGUCCCCUCCAGCCUUUCCUCAUCUUUUGUGACCUGGUCACUCUGGAAGGGUGCUGGCCGGUUAGUCCACAGGAUGGGCCUCCCGUGGGGCUUUUCUGAUGCUUCCUUAUGAUGGCACUGGCAUCCUGA
RNAcentral lists this long non-coding RNA (584 nucleotides) under Pan troglodytes (chimpanzee). Its description in RNAcentral is "lincRNA". Lineage: Eukaryota; Metazoa; Chordata; Mammalia; Primates; Hominidae. The record is from RNAcentral.